Molecule: non-coding RNA, 228 nt
Organism: Prunus avium (sweet cherry)
Lineage: Eukaryota; Viridiplantae; Streptophyta; Magnoliopsida; Rosales; Rosaceae
Source: RefSeq, a predicted model, not a curated record
AGAAGCACAAGUUGUGAUUGUAGGAGCUGGAAUUGCUGGCCUUGCAACAUCCUUAGGACUUCAUAGGCUUAGCAUCCGAAGCUUAGUGUUGGAAUCGUCGGAUAGUUUGAGGACAACAGGGGUUGCAUUCUCAACAUGGACAAAUGCAUGGAAGGCAUUAGAUGCCCUUGGUAUUGGCGAUACUCUUCGCCGACAACAUGAGACACUUCAUGGGAAUGUGACUUCCUC